RNAcentral lists this ribosomal RNA (468 nucleotides) under uncultured bacterium. Its description in RNAcentral is "partial 16S ribosomal RNA". It matches the Rfam family "Bacterial small subunit ribosomal RNA", at positions 28 to 507 of the family's 1533-position model. The record is from RNAcentral.
GACGAACGCUGGCGGCGUGCUUAACACAUGCCAGUCGAACGGAAGGGCCCUGCGUUUGUGGGGUGCUCGAGUGGCGAACGGGUGAGUAACACGUGAGUAACCUGCCCUUGACUUUGGGAUAACUUCAGGAAACUUGGGCUAAUACCGGAUAGGAGCUCCUGCUGCAUGGGGGGGGGUGGAAAGUUGCGGCGGUUGGGGAUGGACCGGCGGUGUAUCAGCUUGUUGGUGGGGUAGUGGCUUACCAAGGCUUUGACGGGUAGCCGGCCUGAGAGGGUGACCGGCCACAUUCGGACUGAGGUACGGACCAGAGUCCUACGCGAGGGAGCAGUGGAGAAUAUUGAACAAUGGGCGGCAGCCUGAUGAAGCAACGCCGCGUUCGGGAUGACGGCCUUCGGGUUGUAAACCGCUUUCGCCUGUGACGAAGCGUGCGUGACGGUAAUGGGUAAAGAAGCCCCGGCUAACUACGUG